AUUGAACGCUGGCGGCAGGCCUAACACAUGCAAGUCGAACGGUAACAGGAAGCAGCUUGCUGCUUUGCUGACGAGUGGCGGACGGGUGAGUAAUGUCUGGGAAACUGCCCGAUGGAGGGGGAUAACUACUGGAAACGGUAGCUAAUACCGCAUAACGUCGCAAGACCAAAGAGGGGGACCUUAGGGCCUCUUGCCAUCGGAUGUGCCCAGCUGGGAUUAGCUAGUAGGUGGGGUAACGGCUCACCUAGGCGACGAUCCCUAGCUGGUCGGAGAGGAUGACCGGCCACACUGGAACUGAGACACGGUCCAGACUCCUACGGGAGGCAGCAGUGGGGAAUAUUGCACAGUGGGCGCAAGCCUGAUGCAGCCAUGCCGCGUGUAUGAAGAAGGCCUUCGGGUUGUAAAGUACUUUCAGCGGGGAGGAAGGGAGUAAAGUUAAUACCUUUGCUCAUUGACGUUACCCGCAGAAGAAGCACCGGCUAACUCCGUG
This 490-nucleotide ribosomal RNA is filed under the name uncultured bacterium. Its description in RNAcentral is "partial 16S ribosomal RNA". It matches the Rfam family "Bacterial small subunit ribosomal RNA", at positions 30 to 507 of the family's 1533-position model. The record is from RNAcentral.